Molecule: long non-coding RNA, 912 nt
Organism: Cyprinus carpio carpio
Lineage: Eukaryota; Metazoa; Chordata; Actinopteri; Cypriniformes; Cyprinidae
Source: Ensembl
AUGAGAAAAGCAAGUAAGUCCCCGUUGACUUCGUUGUUUACUUGCUUCGUCACUUCCGUUUUUUUCUUCUAGAGCACUGGUUCACUGGCUGAACAGCCAAUCAGAAUGAUCAGAUGGCCCGACUGACUGACAAGCCCCGACGCCGAUUCAACAUGUCGAGUCGGCCAUUACAAAGCCGACGAGGAACAAUUUCAGCCGACGGUGCGGAACACACUGAGAAGAUUUAGUCGGCCGACGCACGAAAACUGCCCGACGGCCGACCGUCGGCUUGGUGUGUUCCAGGCUUGAUGCACCCUAACCAUAAGAACCUUUCAGUACAAUGCAUGCUGGAAACUAGAAAUCCACUGGACAAUUUUCAAAGGUAUCAAGACAAUUUCAUUAAGAUUUGGAGCAAUUUAGCAUUUCAUCACUUGCUCAACAAAGGAUCCUCUGCAGUCAAUGGGUGCCAACAGAAUGAGAUUCCAAACAUCUGAUAAAAACAUAAAAUCCACAGAAAAGAUGACUUCUUCACUUGAGAAAGCAAUGCCAUGGAUACAGGAUUCUGCAGAAAUUGAAGUUACAACAUCUUAGAUGGAAUUGUUUCUAAUGAGCUUUUUGCUUGACAGGAUGUUAACUGAUGGACUGGAGUGGUGUGAAUUACUUGUGGAUUAUUGUGAUGUUUUUAUCAGCUGUUUGGACUCUUAUUCAUUUAUAUUCAUUUAUAUGGAGUAUCCAUUUGGUGAGUGAGUGAUGCAAUGCUACAUAUUUUCCAAAUCUGUUCUGAUGAACUUGGAUGGCCUGAGUGAUUAUUUAUUUAUUUUAUUUUAUUUUAUUUUAUUUUAUUUUAUUUUAUUUUAUUUUAUUUUAUUUUAUUUUAUUUUAUUUAUUUAUUUCUGCAAAUGUUAAUUUUUGGGUGAACAAUUUUUUUAGAGU